Molecule: ribosomal RNA, 253 nt
Filed under: uncultured prokaryote
Description: partial 16S ribosomal RNA
Rfam family: Bacterial small subunit ribosomal RNA
Source: RNAcentral
AUGAAGGGUGCAAGCGUUAAUCGGAAUUACUGGGCGUAAAGCGCGCGUAGGUGGUUCAGCAAGUUGGAUGUGAAAUCCCCGGGCUCAACCUGGGAACUGCAUCCGAGACUGCAUUGCUAGAGUAUGGGAGAGGGAAGCGGAAUUCCUGGUGUAGCAGUGAAAUGCGUAGAUAUCAGAAGGAACAUCAGUGGCGAAGGCGGCUUCCUGGACCAAUACUGACGAUCAGGUGCGAAAGCGUGGGGAGCAAACAGGA